CAGCCGCCGCGGGAAUACGUAGGUGGCAAGCGUUGUCCGGAAUUAUUGGGCGUAAAGGGCUCGCAGGCGGUUUCUUAAGUCUGAUGUGAAAGCCCCCGGCUCAACCGGGGAGGGUCAUUGGAAACUGGGAAACUUGAGUGCAGAAGAGGAGAGUGGAAUUCCACGUGUAGCGGUGAAAUGCGUAGAGAUGUGGAGGAACACCAGUGGCGAAGGCGACUCUCUGGUCUGUAACUGACGCUGAGGAGCGAAAGCGUGGGGAGCGAACAGGUUUAGAUACCCCUGUAGUCCCUGUCUCUUAUAC
This 301-nucleotide ribosomal RNA is filed under the name uncultured bacterium. RNAcentral describes it as "partial 16S ribosomal RNA". It matches the Rfam family "Bacterial small subunit ribosomal RNA", at positions 509 to 807 of the family's 1533-position model. The record is from RNAcentral.